CCUACGGGCGGCUGCAGUAGGGAAUAUUGCUCAAUGGGGGAAACCCUGAAGCAGCAACGCCGCGUGGAGGAUGAAGGUUUUCGGAUUGUAAACUCCUUUUGUUAGAGAAGAUAAUGACGGUAUCUAACGAAUAAGCACCGGCUAACUCCGUGCCAGCAGCCGCGGUAAUACGGAGGGUGCAAGCGUUACUCGGAAUCACUGGGCGGAAAGAGCGCGUAGGCGGGAUAGCAAGUCAGAUGUGAAAUCCUAUGGCUUAACCAGAGAACUGCAUUUGAAACUGUUAUUCUAGAGUAUGGGAGAGGUAGGUGGAAUUCUUGGUGUAGGGGUAAAAUCCGUAGAGAGCAAGAGGAAUACUCAUUGCGAAGGCGACCUGCUAGAACAUAACUGACGCUGAUGCGCGAAAGCGUGGGGAGCAAACAGGAUUAGAUACCCCUGUAGUC
This 440-nucleotide ribosomal RNA is filed under the name uncultured bacterium. RNAcentral describes it as "partial 16S ribosomal RNA". It matches the Rfam family "Bacterial small subunit ribosomal RNA", at positions 338 to 795 of the family's 1533-position model. The record is from RNAcentral.